UACGGAGGGUGCAAGCGUUAUCCGGAUUCACUGGGUUUAAAGGGUGCGUAGGUGGGAAUGUAAGUCAGUGGUGAAAUCUCCGUGCUUAACAUGGAAACUGCCAUUGAUACUAUCAGUCUUGAAUACCGUGGAGGUAAGCGGAAUAUGUCAUGUAGCGGUGAAAUGCUUAGAUAUGACAUAGAACACCAAUUGCGAAGGCAGCUUACUACCCGAAUAUUGACACUGAGGCACGAAAGCGUGGGGAUCAAGCAGG
Molecule: ribosomal RNA, 253 nt
Filed under: uncultured bacterium
Lineage: Bacteria
Description: partial 16S ribosomal RNA
Rfam family: Bacterial small subunit ribosomal RNA
Source: RNAcentral